This 3374-nucleotide ribosomal RNA is filed under the name Cordyceps militaris. RNAcentral describes it as "eukaryotic LSU rRNA". The stretch from base 310 to 3037 matches the Rfam family "Eukaryotic large subunit ribosomal RNA". The record is from RNAcentral. Lineage: Eukaryota; Fungi; Ascomycota; Sordariomycetes; Hypocreales; Cordycipitaceae.
ACUUUUAAUAAUAGAUCUCUUACUCUAGUAUUAAUAAAGAACGUAGUAAAUAUAAUAAGUAAUAUAAAUUAAAAUUUAGUAAAUUAUUAAAUCUUUAAACGUAUAUUACGCCUACUAGUAUUCUAGUAGGCAUGCCUAUUUAAGCGUUAUUUUAACCCUUAAUAUCCCCUAGGGGAUAUUAGCGUUAGGAACUAGUAGCAUACUGCUACCCCUAAAAUAAAGUAGUAGCCAUCCAUAGCGACCUCUAUUAGUACUCUAACUUAUACUAAGAACCUAAUAUAGCCACGCUAUAAAACACCCAACUCUAAACUUAACCUAAUUAGGUAGGAAUACCUACUAAACUUAAGCAUAUUAAUAAGUAGAGGAAAAGAAACUAAUAGGAUUACCCUAGUAAUAGCAAGUAAAGUAGCAAUAGCUUAAAUUUAAAAUCUAGCCCCUAGGUCUAAGUUAUAAUUUAUAGAGAAUGCUUUUAGUAAGGUACCUUCUAAGUUCCUAGAAUAGGACGCUAUAGAGGGUAAGAGCCCUGUCUAGUUAAAUACUAAGCCUCUAUAAAGCUCCUUUAACAAGUCGAGUAGUUUAGGAAUACUGCUUAAAAUAGAGGUAUAUAUCUUCUAAAGCUAAAUAUUAGCUAGAGACAAUAGCACAUAAGUAGAGUAAUUAAAAGAUAAAAAGCACUUUAAAAAGAGGGUUAAAAAGUAUAUAAAAUUAUUAAAAGGGAAGCGCUAUAACUAGACUUAGGCCUAGUAAAUACCUAGUUUCUUGCUAGUGCACUUCGCUAGGCAUAGGCUAGUAUUAGUUUAGCUAGGGAGAAAGGCUUUAGGAAUAUAGCUCCCCUAGGAGUAUUAUAGCCUAUUACGCAAUACCCUACGCUAGACUAAGGUACGCAUUUGUAAGGAUACUAGUAUAAUAGUUAUUAGUAACCUAUCUUAAAAUAUAGACUAAGGAGUUAUCUUUAUAUAUAAGUGUUUAGGUGUUAAAUCCCUAUGCAUAAUAAAAGUAAACAUAGGUAAGAGCUUUAGCGCAUUAUUAACUAAUCCUAAUAUUCUUAGAUAGAUUUAAGUAAGAGUAUAUAAGGCUAGACCUAAAAGAAGGUAAACUAUGCCUAUAUAGAGUAAAGCUAAGGAAACUUUAGUAAAGGCUUAUAGCAAUUCUAACAUACGAAUUAAUUAUUAAAUAUAGGUAUAGGGGUAAAAGACUAAUUAAACCUUCUAGUAGCUAGUUUCUACUAAAGUUUCCCUUAGGAUAGCAGUAUUAAACUUAGUUUUAUAAGGUAAAGUAAUAAUUAGGGACUUAGGGGCGCUAUAUUGCCUUUAUCUAUUCUUAAACUUUAAAUAUAUAAGAAGCCUUUAUUACUUAAUUAACAUAGGUAUUUAAAUAUAUUAACACUAGUAGGCUAUUUUUAGUAAGCAGAACUAGCAAUACAGGAUAACGAAUGCAAGGUUAAGGUCUAGAGUAAAACUUAUUAGACACUAUAAAAGGUAUUAGUAUAUCUUAAUAGUAGAUAUAGCUAUAAAAGUUAGAAUCUACUAAGGACUAUAUAAAACUUACCUGCUAAAUAUACUAGCCUUAAAAAUGAUAGUGCUUAAGCGUCCUACCUAUACCUGCCCUUAGGGUAGAAAUGAAGCCUAAGGAGUAGGCAGACAUAGAGGUUAGUAACAAAGCCUAGGGCGCAAGCCUAGGUUAAAUAGCCUCUAGUACAGAUCUUAGUAGUAGUAGUAAAUACUUUAAUAAGAACUUAAAGGACGAAGUAAAAAAGGUUCUAUAUAAAUAGUAGUUAGAUAUAGGUUAGUUAAUCCUAAGUUAUAAGGAAGUUCUGUUUUAAAGGCAACUCUAUGCUAUGUAGUAAAGGGAAGCUAGUUAACAUUCUAGUACCUAAAUAUAGGUUUUCAUAGCAACGCAACUAAACGUAGAGAUAAUAGUAGAGCCCUAAGUAGAGUUCUCUUUUCUUCUUAAUAGUCUAUUACCCUAAAAUGGUUUAUCUAGAGCUAGGGUUUAAUAGCUAGAAGAGCCUAGCACCUCUACUAGGUUUAGUACGCUUUAACAUCCCUUAAAAAUCCGCAAAAGGAAUAAUUCUUAUAUUAGGUUAUACUUAUAACUAUAGCAGUCUCUAAGGUAAAUAGCCUCUAGUUAAUAGAACAAUAUAGAUAAGGGAAGUUAGUAAAAUAGAUCAUAACUUUAAAUAAGGAUUAGCUCUAAGGGUUAGGCACGUUAGGCUUUAGAAGGAUGCCUUAAGAGUAGGCCACUACUAGCUAGGAACAGCUAGCAGCAGCAGCAUCUAGGCGCUAAUAUCCUUAGUAGGCUUUAGCUAUCAGCAUAUAGUUAAUAACAACUUAGAACUAGUAUAGAUAAAGGGAAUCUAACUAUCUAAUUAAAAAUAGUAUUAUAAUAGCUAGAAAGUAGUAUUAACAUAAUAUAAUUUCUACCUAGUCUCUAAAUAUUAAAGUAAAGUAAUUUAACUAAGCACAGGUAAAUAGUAGAGUAACUAUAACUUAAUAUAGUGCAGGGGAGAUAGGCGUAAGUGCCUAACCCCCUUAAGAGGUUAAGCAGCGUAAAAAGCAACUACUAGUAGGGCCGCUAUAGCCCCUAUAAUACAUUAAAUUAUAGGAAGUUCCUAAAGCUAACACUACAAGUAGGCUACUAAAAGGCGUCUAUAGCCAGGGUAAUAACCUAGGGUAGGUAAAAACUGUUAGAUGUAAUAAUAGAUAAUCCGCAGCUAAGCCUAUAUACUACGCAGCCCCCUAGCUGCACAGGAUAUGGUGCAGUUUAACAACUAAAUAGUAAUAGGUUCAUAAGGAGUGUUCCUAUACACCCUUGCUAGGCUUAAGAUAUAGUCUACUCCUACUUUAAAAGGAUAGGUAUAAUACUCUUAAGGUAGCUAAAUGCCUUAUUAUCUAAUUAGUAAUAUAUAUAAAUAGAUUAAUAAGAUUCCCACUAUCCCUAUUACUAUCUAGCAAAACUAUAGUUAAGGGAAUAGGCUUAGCAGAAUUAGUAAGGAAAGAAGACCCUAAACACACUAUAGUUCGUUCUAAUAAUAAGCAUUAAUAGGGUUAAUAGCAGUUAGCAUGCCACUAGUCUAGCAGCUAAUAUAGUUAUAGGUAGCUAUAGGCAAGACAACCUAGUAUAAGGGAGCCUAUAGGGAGGACUACGUCCUCCCUAUAGUAAUCCUAUAGUAAGCCUCCUUUAGGGGCUAUUAUAACGUAUAGAAAGGUAUUAGUUAGUAGUUAAGAGGCUACUAGCUUAAGGGAUAUACUAAACCUAGGUAAAAGCCUGCCUAUUAAUAGAGUGCCUAUAGUAUAAAGUCUUUAGGGGCUAUACUUAUAUAACGCCUAGAAGGAAAUGCCUAGGCAAAGGCUAGUAGGAGAUAGUUAAGCUUA